GCAAGUCGAGCGGUAACAGAGAUAGCUUGCUAUCUGCUGACGAGUGGCGGACGGGUGAGUAAUGCGUAGGAAUCUGCCUAGUAGUGGGGGACAACGUGUGGAAACGCACGCUAAUACCGCAUACGCCCUACGGGGGAAAGCGGGGGAUCUUCGGACCUCGCGCUAUUAGAUGAGCCUACGUUAGAUUAGCUGGUUGGUGGGGUAAAGGCCUACCAAGGCGACGAUCUAUAGCUGGUCUGAGAGGAUGAUC
Molecule: ribosomal RNA, 250 nt
Filed under: uncultured bacterium
Lineage: Bacteria
Description: partial 16S ribosomal RNA
Rfam family: Bacterial small subunit ribosomal RNA
Source: RNAcentral